This 2182-nucleotide ribosomal RNA is filed under the name Niphargus chagankae. RNAcentral's name for it is "eukaryotic LSU rRNA". The stretch from base 1747 to 2182 matches the Rfam family "Eukaryotic large subunit ribosomal RNA", at positions 1 to 385 of the family's 3401-position model. The record is from RNAcentral. Lineage: Eukaryota; Metazoa; Arthropoda; Malacostraca; Amphipoda; Niphargidae.
AGUAAAAGUCGUAACAAGGUUUCCGUAGGUGAACCUGCGGAAGGAUCAUUAACGAUUGCUAUAAAUGCAAAGACAAAAACUCACUGCAUUGAACGCUGAAACUCCUGACGAGUUCAGGAAGGAUGAUGCCUCUCACGGCCAUCGUGGUCGUUGCGCUCUGCGCUGCGAACGAUGUAAAACAAACAACCGAUGGCCUCUCAUACAGUAUAAUAUCUCUCGCCAUGGCAUACAGGCCUGGCAUCUGGUACGAGUCUCUCGCAGUCUCAAAACCAACCUUACAACUCUGAGCGGUGGAUCACUUGGCUUGUGGAUGCUAUGAAGACCAUAGCUAAGUGUGAGAAUGGCAGCGAGCCGUCGCUAUAUGCGCUGUCCUCUUCUUAUCACAUGUCGAAUGCACAUUGCGCCCCACCCAGCGGUCGGCUAAACAACCUGCAGACAAAAGCCUGUGAGUUGGAACAAAGGCUAAUGUGUGGCCCUCGAGCAACGGCGGGGGAGCCAGGAGCACAUGAGCGUGCGGACCAACUACUCGUGAGUAGUCAGGCCUGACCCUAUGGUGGGGCACUCCUAGUCGAGUGUGGUGGAUCGGACUCACAUCUCUUGUUGCGCGUUCGCGCGUGAUGGAGUUUGAGUUUCUUUGUUGCUGGUGGCAUUUGGGUCGACAUCAGUCGUGCCCGUAAACAACUGCCUUGGCUCGUGCCUCUGUGCGUAUACCUCUCGAAGGAGCGUACAUUGAAGGCCAUAGCUGGCGAUCACUCUUGCGGCCAGGGCACUACUUCGGUAGUGCGCACAGGUCCAAAAGGAAUUGGUAAUACGAGAAUCGGGUCUCAAUACUCUGGCCGGCUUCUGCACACAAUGUGUGGAGUGAUGAUCACAUGAUUAUCAAGAGCACUGCAAAUCCGCUUUUCUGGUAAGGCCCCGUCCGAGCCCCACCUCUUUUGUAUGCACACACACACAUAUCAGACAGUGCCUCCCCUGACGAGAUCAGGAAGGAUGGUCUGAGAGUGUGUGUGUCACAAGUAACAGAUUGGCCGGCAGUCUUGCAUCACAUCUCUAUGAGGUGUGGUGGUCAUGUUGAUUCUUGAGGUCCCUGCAUACCGUCACUCUGGUAAAGGCUCUUCUUUCUCGUAGUAUUCGGGAAUGACACGAGCUUUACCACUUUUGCUCGAACGCACAAGGACAAGGAAUGGGGGCUGAAGGCCUGACGAGAUCAGGUAAGUGCGUCAAAAGUAACAGAGUGGCCGGCAGUCUCGCAUCACACCGCUUGUUGUACUUCUGUGUGACGUGAUGAUCACAUGGUUAUCGAGAGUCCUGCAAAACCGCUUUUCUGGUAAGGCCCCGUCCGAGCCCCAACCUCUUUUAAAUACAUACCAGACAGUGCCUCCCCUGACGAGAUCAGGAAGGAUGGUCUGAGAGUGUGUGUCAAAAGUAACAGAUUGGCGGGCAGUCUCGCAUCACAUCCGUAUGAGGAGUGGUGAUCAUGUUGAUUCUUGAGGUCCCUGCAUAUCCGCUGCUCUGGUAACGGCUCUUAUUUCUCGUAGUAUUCGAGAAUGACAAGAGCCUUACCACUUUUGCUCGCACACACGAGGACAAGGAAUGAGGACCGAACGCCUGACGAGAUCAGGAAAAAGUGUGCGUCAAAAGUAACAGGGUGGCCGGCAGUCUCGCAUCACUGAACACGUUGUACUUCCGUGUGGUAAAGAAUACGAAUGGAGAGAGACCUGGUUUCUUGUGUUUUUGUAAAUGCCACCACCUCGACUUAGGAGAGGUUACCCGCUGAACUUAAGCAUAUCAGUAAGCGGAGGAAAAGAAACCAAUCAGGGAUUCCCUUAGUAGGGGCGACCGAACAGGGAUGAGCCCAGCGCAGAACCUCCCGGGCCACCCGGCCUGCGGCGGAAUGUUGCGUUAAGGGAAAGGUCGUAGUCAAACCCCACAGCCACGCGAGCUCUAAGUAAGUCACGAAUUGGCUAUCCCAACUAACGGCGGGAAAAUCUCCACGGAGGGUGUAAGACCCGUGUGGGCGCGUGUAAAUGCUGUGUGGGCUCGGCCUCUUUUCCCUGAGAGUCGCGUUGCUUGAGCAUGCAGCGCUAAGCAGGUCGUAAACUCGAUCUAAGGCUAAAUAUGUCCACAAGACCGAUAGCGAACAAGUACCGUGAGGGAAAGUUGAAAAGCACUCUGAAGAGAG